CACACUGGAACUGAGACACGGUCCAGACUCCUACGGGAGGCAGCAGUGGGGAAUAUUGCACUAUGGGCGCAAGCCUGAUGCAGCCAUGCCGCGUGUGUGAAGAAGGCCUUCGGGUUGUAAAGCACUUUCAGCGGGGAGGAAGGCGGUGAGGUUAAUAACCUCAUCGAUUGACGUUACCCGCAGAAGAAGCAGCGGCUAAGUCCGUGCCAGCAGCCGCGGUAAUACGGAGUGUGCAAGCGUUAAUCGGAAUUACUGGGCGUAAAGCGCA
RNAcentral lists this ribosomal RNA (268 nucleotides) under uncultured Klebsiella sp. RNAcentral describes it as "partial 16S ribosomal RNA". It matches the Rfam family "Bacterial small subunit ribosomal RNA", at positions 309 to 569 of the family's 1533-position model. The record is from RNAcentral. Lineage: Bacteria; Pseudomonadati; Pseudomonadota; Gammaproteobacteria; Enterobacterales; Enterobacteriaceae.